Molecule: ribosomal RNA, 233 nt
Filed under: uncultured bacterium
Lineage: Bacteria
Description: partial 16S ribosomal RNA
Rfam family: Bacterial small subunit ribosomal RNA
Source: RNAcentral
GAUCCUGGCUCAGGACGAACGCUGGCGGCGUGCCUAAUACAUGCAAGUAGAACGCUGAAGGAGGAGCUUGCUCUUCUGGAUGAGUUGCGAACGGGUGAGUAACGCGUAGGUAACCUGCCUGGUAGUGGGGGAUAACUAUUGGAAACGAUAGCUAAUACCGCAUAAUAACAGUUGUUGCAUGACAACUGUUUGAAAGGUGCAAUUGCAUCACUACCAGAUGGACCUGCGUUGUA